UGCCCCUCACUUGCCAAUACGUCUAGAUCAGCCAGGGCGUCGGCAUGUGUAGCGUAUUAUGUUGGGCUCUCUCGAGAUAAGGAUACGAUGUCCCUUUAUCGGUUGGUUUCCUGUGUGUGCGGCCCGUUCGUUUUUUUGUUACUUUCGCAUCGUUCGGUGCAUUCUGGGGGCUGUGUUGGCUUUUGGUGGCUUGCUUGGCCUUUUGGCUUUGCUUGUUGCUACUUGUCGGGCUGCUUUCGGGAAUGUCGACCGUGGAGGUGCAUGAGUGGUGUUUGGUUUGUUACGUGUGGAUGGCUGUUUGCUUGUGCAACAACGUUCACGCUGCAUACCUCUUCAGUUUUGCGGCAAGGCUUGGUUUGGCUUGUGCAUAUUGUGGGUUUCCUGUGUUGCAUACCUAGUUGAUGGAAAAGUGUGGGUUUUACGAUUUUCAUUUUCGUCUUGCGUCGUUCUUUUGGCGUGGGAUGAACAAUGAAGCGAUCUUUAUGAUCCAUCGUGCUGUCGCGUUUGCAACAAUGAUGUGGCCUAUGAAGCAUCGUUUGGUCUCUUGUAUACGGAAGCUCAUUUGGGCUUGGGUCUUUAUAAGAUCUUCGUUACGCCCUUGUUAAGCGUUCUCGCUUCUCCUAAACGAUUG
RNAcentral lists this unclassified non-coding RNA (631 nucleotides) under Centaurea tentudaica. RNAcentral describes it as "partial external transcribed spacer". Lineage: Eukaryota; Viridiplantae; Streptophyta; Magnoliopsida; Asterales; Asteraceae. The record is from RNAcentral.